Molecule: ribosomal RNA, 424 nt
Filed under: uncultured bacterium
Lineage: Bacteria
Description: bacterial SSU rRNA
Rfam family: Bacterial small subunit ribosomal RNA
Source: RNAcentral
GACGAACGCUGGCGGCGCGCCUAACACAUGCAAGUCGAACGGAGCUUAGAGAGCUUGCUUUUUAAGCUUAGUGGCGAACGGGUGAGUAACGCGUGAGUAACCUGCCCUAGAGUGGGGGACAACAGUUGGAAACGACUGCUAAUACCGCAUAAGCCCACGGUGCCGCAUGACACUGAGGGAAAAGGACUUAUUCGCUUUAGGAUGGACUCGCGUCCAAUUAGCUAGUUGGUGAGGUAACGGCCCACCAAGGCGACGAUUGGUAGCCGGACUGAGAGGUUGAACGGCCACAUUGGGACUGAGACACGGCCCAGACUCCUACGGGAGGCAGCAGUGGGGGAUAUUGCACAAUGGGGGAAACCCUGAUGCAGCGACGCCGCGUGGAGGAAGAAGGUUUUCGGAUUGUAAACUCCUGUCGUUAGGGACG